RNAcentral lists this ribosomal RNA (1229 nucleotides) under Triticum aestivum (bread wheat). Its description in RNAcentral is "partial small subunit ribosomal RNA". The record is from RNAcentral. Lineage: Eukaryota; Viridiplantae; Streptophyta; Magnoliopsida; Poales; Poaceae.
AUUGACUUGGAGACGUCGUGGGGGUGUGACCGAAUCCAGCAAAGUAGGAGACGGGAGGGGGGAAGCUUCUUUUGCUUCCGCGCGGCGAUCUCACGUCCAAACCCAUCCAUCCAACCCACCGCCCAAGGUCGCCGCGGAUCUAGCGAGCCUCGGCGGAGCGGAGAUGAAGAUCACGGCGCUCGUCGUGCUGAAGCCGUCGGCCGGAGGCGCCGGGGGCUCCUCCUCCAGCGGCGGGCAGGGCUCCGAGGCGCUCGUGCUGGCCAACGCCACGGACGUCAGCCACUUCGGCUUCUUCCAGCGCGGCGCCGCCCGCGAGUUCAUCGUCUUCGUCGCCCGCACCGUCGCCCAGCGCACCCAGCCCGGCCAGCGCCAGUCGGUCCAGCACGAAGAAUACAAGGUUCACUCACACAACAGAAAUGGCCUCUGCGUGGUGGCAUUUAUGGAUGAUCACUAUCCUGUACGAAGUGCAUUUUCUCUUCUGAAUAAGGUACUUGACGAAUACCAGAAGGCUUUUGGGGAUGCUUGGAAAGCCGCCACAGCAGAUUCCACUCAAGAGUGGCCUUUCCUGAUGGAAGCUUUGACAAAAUUUCAGGAUCCUGCAGAGGCUGACAAGUUAACAAAAAUUCAGAGGGACUUGGAUGAAACAAAAAUUAUCCUACAUAAAACUAUAGAGAAUGUCCUUCAAAGAGGAGAGCGAUUGGAUAGCUUGGUUGAAAAAAGCUCAGACCUGAGUGCUGCUUCACAGAUGUUCUACAAGCAGGCGAAGAAAACAAACAGUUGUUGUACUAUACUCUGAAGUUUGAACCGUGAUCCUUCAAUCUUUCUUGGAAGGCUCCAGGUUAAUGCUGUUUUCCGACAAAGAUGCUGAUACCUUCAUACAUGCUCCUUGUACCUUUAAUUACACAUGCUUAAUUCUCAGGACACUUUUUACUCCUUUUUUCAGAAAGAAAAUCAAUUGAAUAUCGUUGUGUUGUACCGUAAGUCCGAUUGCUCAUGAAAACGUGCCGGGGUCAAUACUGUAAAUCUGUUAUUCUUUGGUGACGCCUUGGAAUAGCAACUAACAUCACUUAGCAAUGGCCAACAUCAUUGUCUGCCCUGCGUAGAUUGUCGAGAUCUCUCAGUUCUCAAGUAUGUUGGAGCACCGUUGCUGCCCUUAAUUUAUGUACUUUUUGUUGGAAUACUGGUUGCUAUUCAUAAUUUAUGUUUGCAAUAUGAUUGAAGGUUGAUGG